RNAcentral lists this ribosomal RNA (482 nucleotides) under Ameerega hahneli. RNAcentral's name for it is "partial 16S ribosomal RNA". It matches the Rfam family "Bacterial large subunit ribosomal RNA", at positions 1911 to 2549 of the family's 2925-position model. The record is from RNAcentral. Lineage: Eukaryota; Metazoa; Chordata; Amphibia; Anura; Dendrobatidae.
CCAGUGACUCUGUUCAACGGCCGCGGUAUCCUAACCGUGCGAAGGUAGCGUAAUCACUUGUUCUUUAAAUGAGGACUAGUAUGAAUGGCCCCACGAGGGCUGCACUGUCUCCUUUUUCUAAUCAAUGAAACUAAUCUCCCCGUGAAGAAGCGGGGAUAAUCCUAUAAGACGAGAAGACCCUAUGGAGCUUUAAACAACUGAAACAAUUGCUUCUUCCUUAGCUUCUCCCGAGCUCUUUAUUUUACUUAAGCAUCUUUAUUUCUAGUUUUAGGUUGGGGUGACCACGGAGCAAAACUAAACCUCCAUGAAGAAAUGAGUAUUUUUAAGCCACAAACUACUUUUUUAAGCAUCAACAAAUUGACCUUUAUUGACCCAAUAUAUUGAUCAACGAACCAAGUUACCCUAGGGAUAACAGCGCAAUCUACUUCAAGAGCUCAUAUCGACAAGUAGGUUUACGACCUCGAUGUGCUUACCGUGUUACG